This 712-nucleotide long non-coding RNA is filed under the name Pan troglodytes (chimpanzee). Its description in RNAcentral is "long non-coding RNA NONPTRT016731". Lineage: Eukaryota; Metazoa; Chordata; Mammalia; Primates; Hominidae. The record is from RNAcentral.
GAGAUGUGAGUCUUGCCGAAGCUCCCGGCUGAAUAAAGCCCUUCUUUAACUCGGUGUCUGAGGGGUUUUGUCUGCGGCUUGUCCUGCUACAAUGGCAUUAAAAAAAUGUUUUCUUGUAGAGAUAGAGUCUUUCUCUGUUGCCCAGGCUAGUCUCGAACUCCUGGUCUCAAGUGAUCCUCCUGUCUAGGACCCCCAAAGUGUUGGGAUUAUAGAUAUGAACCACGGCACCCAGCCUCCACUAUUAUUUUUUAAAAUUCCUUAUGCUGCUGACUCAUGUCCCUGGCUUUAGUCUUUCAUUAAUCUGUUUCUUUCCACAGUUGCUACUGUUACUUUUUUUUUUUUUUUUUGAGAUGGAGUUUUGCUCUUGUUACACAGGCUGGAGUGCAAUGGCGUGAUCUCGGCUCACUGCACUCCACCUCCUGGGUUCAAGCAAUUCUGCCUCAGCUUCCCAAGUAGCUGGGAGAACAGGCAUGUGCCACCACGCCCAGCUAAUUUUUGUAUUUUUAGUAGAGACAGGGUUUCUCCAUGUUGGUUAGGCUGGUCUUGAAUUCUUAACAUUAGGUGAUCUGCCCACCUCGGCCUCCCAAAGUGCUGGGAUUACAGGCGUGAACUACCUCCAAAAUGCAGCCACCUACUGAGAAAUCUCUGUCAUCCAUUGAGUAGAAGAUAAAGUCCAAACUCCUUGACAGCACAUCUGAGCUCUCUGGUCAUG